CAUACUAGGGAAUAGCCCGAAGAAAUUUGGAUUAAUGCUCUAUAGUAUCUUUUUAAGGCAUCUCAUUAAGAUUUAAGGUUACGGUAUGAGAUGAGUAUGCGUUCUAUUAGCUAGUAGGUGUGGUAACGGCACACCUAGGCUACGAUAGAUAGGGGCCCUGAGAGGGGGAUCCCCCACACUGGUACUGAGACACGGACCAGACUCCUACGGGAGGCAGCAGUAAGGAAUAUUGGACAAUGGGCGAAAGCCUGAUCCAGCCAUGCCGCGUGCAGGAUGACUGCCCUAUGGGUUGUAAACUGCUUUUAUAUAGGAAGAAAAACUUUCUCGUGAGAAAGCUUGACGGUACUAUAAGAAUAAGGAUCGGCUAACUCCGUGCCAGCAGCCGCGGUAAUACGGAGGAUCCAAGCGUUAUCCGGAAUCAUUGGGUUUAAAGGGUCCGUAGGUGGACAAAUAAGUCAGAGGUGAAAUCCUGCAGCUCAACUGUAGAACUGCCUUUGAUACUGUUUGUCUUGAGUUAUUAUGAAGUGG
RNAcentral lists this ribosomal RNA (528 nucleotides) under uncultured bacterium. Its description in RNAcentral is "bacterial SSU rRNA". It matches the Rfam family "Bacterial small subunit ribosomal RNA", at positions 132 to 660 of the family's 1533-position model. The record is from RNAcentral.